Paramuricea clavata is the source of this 291-nucleotide non-coding RNA. NCBI's taxonomy places the organism in Eukaryota, Metazoa, Cnidaria, Anthozoa, Malacalcyonacea, Plexauridae. The record is from the annotation of a GenBank genome assembly.
GGGAAGAACCUCUGGAACACUUCUAUGGCUUUUACUGUUUUAACUGUCACAUGUCAAUCAAACGUUAGCCAAUAGGACACGUAUUUAUUUUUGACUGAUGAUGAUUUGGGCGUGUUCAACCGAACAUUUGAGCGAUGGAAAUUGCGACAGAAUGUGUCAAUUUCAAAACAAAAAAUUAAAAUUAGCGAGUCUUUAUAGUAAAAUAAACCGAAUAAUAUUAUAUGGCCACAUGGCAUUAGACCGUACACCUGUUAAAAGUGUUACAAAAAAGCGGAGACGAGAAUUGUCGAG